Molecule: long non-coding RNA, 1453 nt
Organism: Ctenopharyngodon idella (grass carp)
Lineage: Eukaryota; Metazoa; Chordata; Actinopteri; Cypriniformes; Xenocyprididae
Exons: 4
Source: RefSeq, a predicted model, not a curated record
AUCCGUAGUUCCGUAUUUCUGGACAAAAAGUGCAAUAAAGUUUACAUUUCUCAAACGAUUUCAACGGUUUAUGAUCUGCGUGGGGUCAUACCCUACCAUAACCCAAAAAGGUUUUGUCUCCAAUUACUCAGAAUCUCAGAAUAAGGAAUUGUGAAAACUCAUGCUUCUCAAGCAUAGAUUUGGUUUAACUUCCAGGUUGGCCUACAAAAACACGUCAUCCCUGAGGUACUCUAUAGAGUGGUGCAGGUAUGACAUCACUUUGUAGGCCAAAAUGCAGAAGUGAGUUAGCAUUUUAGCACUUCUGGUUCCAUCGCUCCGAAGUCAAUGGGUUUUUUGAAUGGGAUUUUGGUUAAAUGGCUGAAAUAAGGUCUGUAGUGAACACAAGCUCAAGACAGUUUCACGUUUUAUUCUAUGACAUAAAAUGCAUCAGUAUUACCCCACUUGUGAUUUUUUUUUUUUAAGCUGUUAUGUGUCUUGAAAAAGGCGGUUGCUAACAAGUGGGUAAAUGGGACUACACAGGCAGUCGGGGACAUUAAUUGUCAUCACUCUGAGAAGAGUCCAAACUGCCUACUUGGAAGUGAACACUGAUGACGCAAUAAAAUGUCUCCAUUUACAACAAAGGUACUUUGGGGCUGACGGUCAAUGUGAAGGACACAAUCUGGCAAAUAUUGAGGCAAACAAUGAAAAUGAUCUAACAAAAACCUGCAGAGGCUAUGAGGAAAAACUCUACACACAGACGCUCUACACACACAGACAGCUCAAUGCUGCUAACUGGCAGAGCAGCUGGAAAACUAAAGACAAGAAAAGUAGAACAUUAAUACAGACGACUGUAUUAUUUUUCUGCAAGAACCAGGACAAGCAAAGACGUUGAGAAAACAGCAGUCAGACGCAUGAUUACACACUGGACUUUACUGAGUUCUUCAACAUGUGAUGUUGGGCAUUUACUGUAUGUAGAGCUACUAAUAAUUUAUGUGGAUGCCAUUUAUAGACCUGUUAGAUUUUAAUGUUUUAUUUUUGAGAUUAAUAAAAUUGCAUGUUUUAAAAAUAUUAUAGCUUUUUCUUUUUUUCUUUCUUUUUUUUGAAUAUUUAGGAGAACAUUAGGGGAUAAUGAUUAAUAAAGUGCAAAAUAUGUCAGUGAAAAGCUUUCACUUUCACUUAUAUUUAAUAAUCAGUCUUUUUUUAUUGUUGCCCUUGUUUUAUACAACCUAACAAGUUUUAUUAUCAAACUUUAUGUAGUGUAUUUACAUUUUAUAAUCUUACUUUUAUAUUCCUCUUAUAAAGUAUCGUGAAUGUACUUUUCGAGAUGUAAGAGGAUAUGUUUUUCUGCACAAAACCUCUUAUGCUAUCAACAUAUCGGCACACAAAACAGUGUAUGGACUACAGUCAAGUGCCGUCACGACUACGAAAACCUACUAAGUCGAACGUAUAGGCUACCAGACAGAAAAACACAAGU